RNAcentral lists this ribosomal RNA (322 nucleotides) under Clostridioides difficile. RNAcentral's name for it is "bacterial SSU rRNA". It matches the Rfam family "Bacterial small subunit ribosomal RNA", at positions 396 to 737 of the family's 1533-position model. Lineage: Bacteria; Bacillati; Bacillota; Clostridia; Peptostreptococcales; Peptostreptococcaceae. The record is from RNAcentral.
GCCGGUGAGUGAUGAAGGCCUUCGGGUCGUAAAACUCUGUCCUCAAGGAAGAUAAUGACGGUACUUGAGGAGGAAGCCCCGGCUAACUACGUGCCAGCAGCCGCGGUAAUACGUAGGGGGCUAGCGGUAUCCGGAUUUACUGGGCGUAAAGGGUGCGUAGGCGGUCUUUCAAGUCAGGAGUGAAAGGCUACGGCUCAACCGUAGUAAGCUCUUGAAACUGGGAGACUUGAGUGCAGGAGAGGAGAGUGGAAUUCCUAGUGUAGCGGUGAAAUGCGUAGAUAUUAGGAGGAACACCAGUUGCGAAGGCGGCUCUCUGGACUGU